AUUGAACGCCGGCGGCAGGCCUAACACAUGCAAGUCGAGCGGAUGAAGGGAGCUUGCUCCUGGAUUCAGCUGCGGACGGGUGAGUAAUGCCUAGGAAUCUGCCUGGUAGUGGGGGAUAACGUCCGGAAACGGGCGCUAAUACCGCAUACGUCCUGAGGGAGAAAGUGGGGGAUCUUCGGACCUCACGCUAUCAGAUGAGCCUAGUUCGGAUUAGCUAGUUGGUGGGGUAAAGGCCUACCAAGGCGACGAUCCGUAACUGGUCUGAGAGGAUGAUCAGUCACACUGGAACUGAGACACGGUCCAGACUCCUACGGGAGGCAGCAGUGGGGAAUAUUGGACAAUGGGCGAAAGCCUGAUCCAGCCAUGCCGCGUGUGUGAAGAAGGUCUUCGGAUUGUAAAGCACUUUAAGUUGGGAGGAAGGGCAGUAAGUUAAUACCUUGCUGUUUUGACGUUACCAAAAGAAUAAGCACCGGCUAACUUCGUG
Molecule: ribosomal RNA, 484 nt
Filed under: uncultured bacterium
Lineage: Bacteria
Description: partial 16S ribosomal RNA
Rfam family: Bacterial small subunit ribosomal RNA
Source: RNAcentral